CCCCUUGGAAGUCAUAUUUGCUAUGGUGUGCUUAUUAAUGCAAUGGGACAUCGACUGCCUUGUGUGAGCGUUAGGAGAAGGAGGCCGGCAAAGACACCAUCUAUGAACUUGCUCUCAGAUCAGCUGGGAGUUGCUUCUUUCAGUGUCCAGUCUUCCAUGCCCAGUGAAGAGGAAUUUAUUGUUCUCCAGGCAUUUAAUAAUCCUGCUCUAUUCAACCUUGGACAGACCACACCUGGAGUACUGGGUGCCACACUUUAAGAAGGAUGUUGACAAGGUGGAGCAUGUGCAGAGGAGGGCAGCCAAGAUGAUAAAGGGUGUGGAAACCAAGCCUUAUGGGGAACAGUUGAGGGGAUUGAGUAUAUUUAGCCUGGUAAGGAGGAGACUGAGAGGAGAUACAACAGCCAUCUUCAAAUAUUUAAAGGGUUGUCAGCAAGCUUGUUUUCUCCUGCUCCAGAGGCUAGGACCUGAACCAAUGGCUUCAAGUUACAAGAAAGAAGAUUCUGACUAAACCUCAGGAAGAACUUUCUGGCAGUGGAACAAAUUCCCAUGAAAGGUAGUGGAAUCUCCUUCCUUGUAGGCUUUUAAACAAAGGUUGCAUGACCACCAGUCAUGCAUUAUGUAGUUGAGAUUCCAGCGUGUCUGAAGUGUGAAUUCGACAGCCUCCAGUUCAGAAUCCUGACUUGCCUCAGGCACAAAAUCAUCAGGUGGCUAUGGGCAAGCCACCAUCUCUCAACUUCAGAUCUGCAAUAAGACUAUGAUACUGCUGUUAUUGAGCCAAAUGCAUGUGAAAAGCUUCUGAACACUCAAAAAGUGCUAUAUAACUUUUAAACAUUGCUGAUGGAUAUUCACCAAAGGCCAAAAGGUUUAUAGAAGUAACACUAGACUUUUGUCUUUAAAACACAGGGAGGGAUGACAGUUAUUGAUCAUUAAUGAAUAAAGUAUAGCUGAAGAUUUAUUAGGUCAUUACUCACCCAGGUGUUAGGAAUAAGGCUGAAGUCUGACUGAAUGGAUAUAAAUGUUGACAAUUCUUUGCUGGCAUACAAAUUUUAUGGACCAGCAAGGUGCAAUGGGCAAAUUACUGGGUUUCACUGUGAAACUCCUGCAUUUAAAUAGCUGCUUGUCCCUGGUAUGAGCUGGUAGACCAAGUCAAAUCAUUAUCUAAUCCACCCACUCAAAGGCUAACAUCAGCUUGCUUUAUGAUGUCAUAACUGCUAGUUACACCAUAGCAACCACUUUUUAACCCAGGGAGUGAGGAGCCUUCACAGAUGUGACAAAGCACACAGAGUUCACCGAACCAUCACUAGAAAUUUAAUUACCUUCUUUUGAUAACUGGAGUUUCAUAUUCUUACCUACUAGACAUUUUAAAAGUUUGCCUGAAGUCCUGCAAUAUAAAAUUUCAUACCCACUCAACUACCUCAAAUAAAUGAGCACAAAGGAUGGCUUGUCUGCCAAGAAAAGUUCAUAAAAUCUUGUUCCUGGGAGAGAAUGUUACCCUAUAACAUCAUUAAAACAUUUUGAAGUUAGGGGCUGUGAUACAUGAUUCUGAAAUGUCUUAAUUCCCCCUCCCCCCCAAAAAAGAAUGCACUGAUGUAGUUGCUUCCCUGGGCUCCUUUAGGAGGAAGGGAUAUAAACUAAAUACAGUGGUACCUCGGUUUAAGAACAGCCCUGUUUAUGAACUACUCGGUUUACGAAUUCCACAAAACCGGAAGUAGUGUCCCGGUUUGCAAACUUUACCUUGGUCUAAGAACGGAAUCCGAAUGGUGGAAGGGCACCAGCGGCAGGGGGCCUCAUUAGGGAAAGCGCGCCUCGGUUUAAGAACCGUUUUGGUUUAAGAACGGACUUCCAGAAUGGAUUAAGUUCAUAAACUGAGGCACCACUGUAAAUGAAACAAAAUGAAAUGAAAUGGUCUAGUGACACCUUGUUUUUGGACAGCUGACCCUAUUACACAGGUCUUUUUCAUUAAUAUUGUAAGCUACUCAUUCAGCUCAUGAGCUAAGCAUAUAUUUCAUAUUAUUCCUUUUGAAGAUUCCUAACCAGCAUAUUGGAUGAAUUACCUUCAAAAACUACAAGAAAACAACAACAAAGCCAUCAAACUACACGAAAACAAUACACUGUCCUCAGUCCUGUCACUUACAGAGGGAACCAGAGUGUGCCUUUUUUCACCUCUGUGGGCAGAGCUGAGCAUUCUUUCUAGCAAGUUCAGAAAGGAGCUAUGUUACAAACCUGUGUGACACAUCUUUGAAAUAUUUGCUGAUACCUUCUGAUAAAUAUCAGGCAUUCUCUCUCCAUCAAACAUUUUCUGAUGUACAAAAACAUCGCAGAAAAGCAAAGAUGAUCCUGGAGUCUGUCUUGCAGUUCAACAUUUGUACACUGCACCACUGAUGGUUGCUUUGUCACUGAAGGCCCAUUCUUUGAAGUGGGGAGGGGAAGCAUCGCUUUUACUUGCUGGACCUUGAGGAACAACUUUCAGAUAAUAAAUGGAUGAAAAGCAGGCUGAAACAGAUUGCUCCCAAGCAUUUGACUUGUUGAAUCUUAAGCAUCAAUUACUCACAUUGGCAGAAGCCUCACAAUUCAUCACAGCUCAAGCAGCAUCCUCCUUGAACUUCCACCGAAGCUCAUACAUAACAGCAGAGGGAGAAAUGGUUUUGCUGUGUGCAUGCUUUCUCCACUAACAUAGCAGUUUCAGAGGCAAGUUUUUGAUGAUGAUCACAGUGUGUUUCUUUUCCCAUUAGUGCUCUCAGAGUAUUGCCUUGAAGUUACAGCACCAGUUUGUUUUAAAAGCAGUGUGUAUUCACUAAAGUUGUUGCUCUUAGCUUCCAUAUUGUAAGUUCAUUCCAUGGCAGAAAGCUCCACUGGUGUCAAUGGGACUUAUUUCUACAGAAUCAGCCUACGCCAGAGAUUUCCUUUGCUACAGUGAUUUUCCUGUUAGCUUUCAUGGAGCAUACAAAUCUGUCUCUGAGACUGAAGUCAAUGAGAAAGACUGAUUAUGCUCAGUAUGUGUAAAAACAACAACAACCAAACUCCACAAAAUUGGACCAACUGCUUCAAAGAGGCACUUCCUAAUGCUGAAUUAUGGUACCUGAUGAAACUUAAUCCCUCUCUCUCUAUAUAUAUAUUUCAUCUCCUCUGCGCUUGCACAGGUUACUAUUGAGAAAGCGGUAAAUAUAACUAAAUCUGAAUCCAGACCAAGGUCAUGUCAUCCAUUGCAUGAGGAUAAGCAUGAAUACAACAAGCAUGUCCUUGCAACACCUGAAUUAUAUGGGUAGAUUCAUCAUGACACCAUAAUGGUAAAUCUUGGGUUCCUUCUGUUUUCAUGUGUGAAGUAACUAUCAGUGAGUGAGGCAUUGGGGGUUGGGGGUGUGAACCUACAUGUUCAGCUGAACUGCAGAUUUAUAAAAAUGUCUAGGUGGCACUGCAAACCAGGAAACAAUCAGAGAAAAUAAACAAACCAGUAUUUAAAGGGG
Molecule: non-coding RNA, 3464 nt
Organism: Podarcis lilfordi (Lilford's wall lizard)
Lineage: Eukaryota; Metazoa; Chordata; Lepidosauria; Squamata; Lacertidae
Source: the annotation of a GenBank genome assembly